Molecule: long non-coding RNA, 353 nt
Organism: Canis lupus familiaris (dog)
Lineage: Eukaryota; Metazoa; Chordata; Mammalia; Carnivora; Canidae
Exons: 2
Source: RefSeq, a predicted model, not a curated record
AGAACACAGAACUCUUGCUCUUGACUUUUCACACUGACUACUGGACCCUUGAAACUUCUAGUGUGCUAAGGGAUAUUGACAGCUCUCGUGGUCCAGCCCUCAUUUCCAGACAUACUCACAUAUCUAUUGUCUAGCAUUUGGUUUACAGCAUGUUCUAGGGAAAAGAAUGCCAAGUUGGGAGCUAGGAGCACUCACUUCAUACCUAACGAGCUGUAUGGUUCCGGGCAAGUUUGAAAGCUUCAUGCACCUGAUUUUCUCCAUGUAAGCUAUGUCUUGGGCUGGUAGAGAGAAGAUAAACUGUCAAAACAGAUGGAAGAGUUCUUUAAAAGCAAAAGUACUUUUCAUUUCCAUAA